Molecule: non-coding RNA, 265 nt
Organism: Pelobates cultripes (western spadefoot toad)
Lineage: Eukaryota; Metazoa; Chordata; Amphibia; Anura; Pelobatidae
Source: the annotation of a GenBank genome assembly
CUAGAGAGGGGGACCCCUGAAGGGGUUAAUGCAGCUGCAGGGAGCGGUGAUCGGGUGAUUCCCGAACCGCCGCGUGAGCGGGGAAGGCGGCCGUCGUGGGUCUCGCGAGCUGCGAGAUCCAAGAUGGCCGCCAGCCGCGUGCAGCAGGCUUACUCGCUCGCUGCCGCGAGUAAGCAGAAAAACACGGCGGAAGAAUGCAAAACCGCCCCGGCCACCCUCCACCUGUCCCCACACAGUCCCCUGAGUGUCAGCAGGGCAGGUCCAC